GGGGUUGUGGCUCAACGGUAGAGCGCUCCCCUAGCGCAGGCGAGGCCCUGGGUUUGAUCCUCAGCACCACA
This 71-nucleotide transfer RNA is filed under the name Marmota monax (woodchuck). RNAcentral describes it as "tRNA.Ala". Lineage: Eukaryota; Metazoa; Chordata; Mammalia; Rodentia; Sciuridae. The record is from RNAcentral.